Molecule: unclassified non-coding RNA, 270 nt
Filed under: plant metagenome
Description: partial contains small subunit ribosomal RNA and internal transcribed spacer 1
Rfam family: Eukaryotic small subunit ribosomal RNA (bases 1-46)
Source: RNAcentral
AAGUCGUAACAAGGUUUCCGUAGGUGAACCUGCGGAAGGAUCAUUAAAGAAUACCUGGACUCCGGUCCUCGUCGAGAAAGGUCGUCCCGGGUGGCCUCCAGGUCCCCGGGGGCUUCCCCCCCUCUUACCCUUCUCGUUUACCUCUACCUCUGCUUGCUUUGGCAUCAGCUCCUGCCCCGGGGUGGUUCCGGGCUUGGGCGUCCUGGCCGGAGGGCCCCCAACGCUCUGUGGGAUAGUCCUAUGUUUGUCUGAGUACGAUAUAAUCGUUUA